CAGCAGCCGCGGUAAACCGUAGGGGACAAGUGUUAUCCGGAUUCACUGGGCGUAAAGCGCGAGCAGGUGGUGCUUUAAGUUGGGCGUGAAAUCUCCCGGCUUAACUGGGAGGAGUCGUUCAAUACUGGAGCACUUGAGGGCAGGAGAGGAAAGUGGAAUUCCCGGU
This 166-nucleotide ribosomal RNA is filed under the name uncultured bacterium. Its description in RNAcentral is "partial 16S ribosomal RNA". It matches the Rfam family "Bacterial small subunit ribosomal RNA", at positions 509 to 674 of the family's 1533-position model. The record is from RNAcentral.